AGAACGAACGCUGGCGGCAGGCCUCAAACAUGCAAGUCUAGGGGGCGUAGCAAUACGUCACCGGCGGACGGGUGCGUAACACGUGGGAAUGUACUUACUGGUUCGGAACAACUCAGGGAAACUUGAGCUAAUACCGAAUGUGCCCGAAAGGGGAAAGAUUUAUCGCCAGUAAAUCAGCCCGCGUCCGAUUAGCUAGUUGGUGGGGUAAAGGCCCACCAAGGCGACGAUCGGUAGCUGUUCUGAGAGGAAGAUCAGCCACACUGGGACUGAGACACGGCCCAGACUCCUACGGGAGGCAGCAGUUGGGAAUCUUGGACAAUGGGGGAAACCCUGAUCCAGCCAUGCCGCGUGAGUGAUGAAGGCCUUCGGGUUGUAAACUCUUUCGACGGGGACGAUAAUGACGGUACCCGUAGAAGAAGCUCCGGCUAACUUCGUGCCAGCAGCCGC
RNAcentral lists this ribosomal RNA (447 nucleotides) under uncultured bacterium. RNAcentral's name for it is "SSU rRNA". It matches the Rfam family "Bacterial small subunit ribosomal RNA", at positions 26 to 518 of the family's 1533-position model. The record is from RNAcentral.